UACGGAGGGAGCUAGCGUUGUUCGGAAUUACUGGGCGUAAAGCGCACGUAGGCGGCUUUGUAAGUUAGAGGUGAUAGCCUGGAGCUCAACUCCAGAAUUGCCUUUAAGACUGCAUCGCUUGAAUCCAGGAGAGGUGAGUGGAAUUCCGAGUGUAGAGGUGAAAUUCGUAGAUAUUCGGAAGAACACCAGUGGCGAAGGCGUCUCACNUGGACUGGUAUUGACGCUGAGGUGCGAAAGCGUGGGGAGCAAACAGGAUUAGAUA
This 262-nucleotide ribosomal RNA is filed under the name uncultured Sphingomonadales bacterium. RNAcentral describes it as "partial 16S ribosomal RNA". It matches the Rfam family "Bacterial small subunit ribosomal RNA", at positions 524 to 784 of the family's 1533-position model. Lineage: Bacteria; Pseudomonadati; Pseudomonadota; Alphaproteobacteria; Sphingomonadales. The record is from RNAcentral.